RNAcentral lists this ribosomal RNA (491 nucleotides) under uncultured bacterium. RNAcentral describes it as "partial 16S ribosomal RNA". It matches the Rfam family "Bacterial small subunit ribosomal RNA", at positions 29 to 506 of the family's 1533-position model. The record is from RNAcentral.
AGUGAACGCUGGCGGUAGGCCUAACACAUGCAAGUCGAACGGCAGCACAGUAAUAGCUUGCUCUUACGGGUGGCGAGUGGCGGACGGGUGAGGAAUACAUCGGAAUCUACUUUUUCGUGGGGGAUAACGUAGGGAAACUUACGCUAAUACCGCAUACGACCUACGGGUGAAAGUAGGGGAUCUUCGGACCUUGCGCGAUUGAAUGAGCCGAUGUCGGAUUAGAUAGUUGGCGGGGUAAAGGCCCACCAAGGCGACGAUCCGUAGCUGGUCUGAGAGGAUGAGCAGCCACACUGGAACUGAGACACGGUCCAGACUCCUACGGGAGGCAGCAGGGGGGAAUAUUGGACAAUGGGCGCAAGCCUGAUCCAGCCAUACCGCGUGGGUGAAGAAGGCCUUCGGGUUGUAAAGCCCUUUUGUUGGGAAAGAAAAGCAGCAGGUUAAUACCCCGCUGUUCUGACGGUACCCAAAGAAUAAGCACCGGCUAACUUCGU